Molecule: long non-coding RNA, 1555 nt
Filed under: Panax ginseng (ginseng)
Lineage: Eukaryota; Viridiplantae; Streptophyta; Magnoliopsida; Apiales; Araliaceae
Description: long non-coding RNA (PGIN_LNC011407)
Source: RNAcentral
AUCACUAUUCGCUAUUAUGUAUUCACAGACUAUAGUUUACUCCUAGCCCUAGCCCUAGCCCUAGCCCAAAUCGCAAACCCCAAACCCCAAAUCCCAAAUCCUCUAGUCUUGUCUCUCUCGACUCUCCGGCCUCCGCCUCUCCCCUUCUCAAUCUCCGGCCUCCACCAUCUGUCUGUCUCGCCGUUUCGCAGCUCCGCAUUUCCCCGUCUCAAUCUCCGACUCUCUUACGACUGUCUAUCUAAAUUGGUAAUUUGUGUGAUAAUCAAAUUGGUGUAUUUGUCCAUUUUUUUUAGUUUGAAUCUAGUAUACUGGUAUGAUUUCGUAAUUUUUAUGUUAAAAGUUUCCAUCUUUGAGGAUAAACCGGGUAACAGAUCAAUUGGCUUCGAUUUUCGAAUGACUGUUUUAGACUUUUAGGGAUUCCAUCCGUUUCAUUGAAUUUUCCCCUUCUCUCUGGAUGUAUGGGUAGUGAUGGACCUCAUGGAUUUUGCAGUUUAUUGAUACAGUUUCAUAAAGCUAUUACCAGUAUAUGGACCUCAUGAAUUUUGCAGUUUAGAUUAUGAUUAUUAGUUCAGAUCUUCUUGUGUUCAACACUGAGCUAAAUUAGCUGAUGUUGUAAACCCUAAACUUGAACUUGUUGAAGUUUGUAUUUUUGUGUUAACUAGGCCUGGCCUGGCCAUUGCAUGUAAAUCUUGCUAUUAAAUUACUAAUUCAUUAGUGUCUGUAUUGUGUUGUUUUUAGGGCAUUCCAAUUAUUUAAUUUUAAAUUUAUAAAUAAUAGUGGACCAUAAAAAGAAAACUAAAACAUGAUGAUGAAGGCUCAAGUUUGACAAGCUAUUGAAAGUGAAGGCUCAAGUUUCACAAGUUAAAAGUGUAAUGGAGGAAAACAUAGGCAAUGUACCUUAAAUAUCUUGUAAAAGUUGCUUUAUGUGUUUUUGUUUUCUUUCAUGUUGAUAGUGUUACAUUCUGUGUUUGCAAUGUCUUCUAAUUUUGGAAAUUAUUUUCUUCUGAGUGGACAAUGUUCUGAUUGCACUGAUCUUGUCUCAACCCCAUUUAUUACAUAAAUUUUGGAAAGACAUUUUGUUGUUUCUAUUCUUUUUGAGUAGUUGAUAGGUAAUAGCUAAGCCAGUUGUUUAUUGAGUGAAGGUGAAAACCCCUCAUUUUCCAUUGUUUGUGCUUUGUGCAGGCAUUUAUGCAGUUACUGCCUACUGGGAUAUCUCUUGCUUGCUUGUGUUGCAUGUUGUUGUUGCUUGUUGCUCGUUGAUGUUGUUGUUGAUGUUGUUGCACAACUUGCACUGCUGGCCGCUGGGUGCUAGCUCUGCUAGCUGCUGAAAAGCCUACAAUUUGCUACUAGUUGUUGUUGCAUGUUGUUAGAUUAUAAUUACUUUGUUAAUCAUAAACUUUGUUAAAGACAUUCUGCACUGCUGCUGUAUUUUUAAUUUUAAACAAUUAAACAACUGUUGUAUUGUUAAUUUUAAAAAGAGCAUUGAUUCGGUUAUUACCCGAAUAUCCGAAUUGUACAAUUCGGUAAUUCGGUUAGUUCUAAAUUUCGGUUAGUG